CUACGUGCCAGCAGCCGCGGUAAUACGGAAGGUCCGGGCGUUAUCCGGAUUUAUUGGGUUUAAAGGGAGCGUAGGCUGGAGAUUAAGUGUGUUGUGAAAUGUAGACGCUCAACGUCUGACUUGCAGCGCAUACUGGUUUCCUUGAGUACGCACAACGUUGGCGGAAUUCGUCGUGUAGCGGUGAAAUGCUUAGAUAUGACGAAGAACUCCGAUUGCGAAGGCAGCUGACGGGAGCGCAACUGACGCUGAAGCUCGAAGGUGCGGGUAUCGAACAGGAUUAGAUACCCUGGUAGUCCGCACAGUAAACGAUGGAUGCCCGCUGUUGGUACCUGGUAUCAGCGGCUAAGCGAAAGCAUUAAGCAUCCCACCUGGGGAGUACGCCGGCAACGGUGAAACUCAAAGGAAUUGACGGGGGCCCGCACAAGCGGAGGAACAUGUGGUUUAAUUCGAUGAUACGCGAGGAACCUUACCCGGGCUUGAAUUGCAGAGG
Molecule: ribosomal RNA, 490 nt
Filed under: uncultured bacterium
Lineage: Bacteria
Description: bacterial SSU rRNA
Rfam family: Bacterial small subunit ribosomal RNA
Source: RNAcentral